GUUGCAGUUAAUCACGGAUUCCAGCUGACGUUAAUGGUUUACCAGAAUCCUUAUAAGGCACAGCGUGAAUACCACCACCGGAGACGCGGCUUCCCAUCCAGUUUUGUAAUUGGUGGCUUAUGCAAAAACGUGUAAUCGCAAGAGCUUACACCUAACAAAUUUUCGACUCAGGCAUAUGCUGGGUAAACUUAGUAAAUGCCACAAUUUAACCUCCAAAAGGAGCGAUACCAUAUCUCAUGAAUAUAAUUUUAUGCCAAUCGCUCUCAAAAUAAGUGACGCAAUCAAGUUACAAUGUCUAUGGGAUACUGCAGGUGGGGGGAGCUCAUCUGAGUUACGCCAGCAAUUUUUUUUGAAAAACAAUAAUUCUGCGGCUCAUUGCGGCGAAGGAUCACUGGUGGCCCGGAGGCCUUUUCAGUUUCACCAGGACGGGUAGGCGAGCAAAGGCGUGAGAUUUGCUAACAGCUGCCCGAGCACCUCCUAAGGAGACUUAACAACUCAACAGCAACUGCUUCGCGAAUGAAUCUACUACCGGAUCGGAAUCGCGACCCGCUGAGAAGAUCCGGCGAGAAACUCAGAGGGCUGAUGAAUGGGUUAGGAUGUACGUCGACUUUUUGUCGAGUUCGACGAGAACGGUUACCGGGGUCCCUAAGCUUGCUCCUAGUAUUAGAGCUGAAGGCGUCUAAGGCAAAGGUUAUUGAAUCUAAAUCUGAUGACUGUAAUCGAGAAUCAACUUCAUUAUCACUCGAAAAAGAGGUCAGAACUUUACCGUUACUCGAGUACUUGAGAACGGAAACACACGGGAGGCUACUGACGCUAUCGACGCUCGCCACAGAUAACUAUCUUCUAGCAAAACUUUGCUGUACAGAAAUAAUAAAAAACUGGCAUAGCAAUUUUUUUUAAUUGUUAAAUUACUGACGAAUAUUAUUACCACCAUUUUUGGUUUCAGAGAAACAACCAGACCUUUGCUGCAGCGUGAGUACAGUUGGAUCACACAUUCUUGAAAAGAACACGUCAGUAAGGAAAACCAAUACUAAACUAGAAUACUCUGGAAAAUAUAUCAUUGUUCUUCUUCAAGAUUACAUCAAAUAAAUUGAAAUAUUUUAUAUGGUAUCAUCAUUUACAAGAUUUAUUUAAAUGGUACAAAGAAAUAUGAAGGUUAAAUGUAUAUAUAGGUGUAGACGCAUUAACUGAUCUUGUGAUUUCCUUAUAAGAACCAACUCGAGACAAACUCGAUUCCUGAGAUUGUUUAGACUUUAAUAGUAAAGCUUGCUCUAGUACUAUAAAUCUAGAUUAAGUUUUGAAAAUACAUUAUUUGGAUCCGGCAAACAG
Molecule: long non-coding RNA, 1329 nt
Organism: Bombyx mori (domestic silkworm)
Lineage: Eukaryota; Metazoa; Arthropoda; Insecta; Lepidoptera; Bombycidae
Exons: 2
Source: RefSeq, a predicted model, not a curated record